Molecule: non-coding RNA, 91 nt
Organism: Punica granatum (pomegranate)
Lineage: Eukaryota; Viridiplantae; Streptophyta; Magnoliopsida; Myrtales; Lythraceae
Source: Rfam
UGUGGCAAAUGAUGAACGUUUAUAUGUUAUUUAUUCUACACUCAGAUUGAGCAGUGUUGACUACAAACUCUGCUUAUUAUCUGAUGCCAUG